Anser brachyrhynchus (Pink-footed goose) is the source of this 857-nucleotide long non-coding RNA. Lineage: Eukaryota; Metazoa; Chordata; Aves; Anseriformes; Anatidae. The record is from Ensembl.
CUUUCAGUGGCAACACAAAACUGAGUGAUCCUGCCUUCAGGAAGAUGGCUCUUUCUCUGGAGAAAGAGGAGGUACCAAGAAUUUUUCCAGAAGCUCUGAAGAGACGACUGUAAUUCUUUGUCUUUGAUCAAAAUUGGGGUCUCCUAUCUUUAAAAGACCUUGGCAGCAGUGGUAUAAAUGCAACCCCUGCUGGCUGUGGUUGAGUGGAGAUGAAGCCUGAAGUCCCUGCCGUUGCCCUACAAACAUGAGUAUAAUUAAGGAUGCAGUGGAAUGAAAGCAGCCGCACCACCCGGGAGAGGUGUUUUCCUUCAACUAGUGGCAUCGGGUUCCCGCCUGGAGCACCCCAAGAUGGCAGCCGGUCUCUGGGUGAGUCAUGGCUCCUGCAGCCUUUUGCAGGGUUUUGCAGCUGCUUUGACAGUUUUACUGUUUUUGCCUUUUUCCUCUGUUUUUUCCUGGAAGAUUUUUCAUCUGCUGUUGUGGUAAUUAAAGGCAAGCAAGUCAUGUCUUACCUUGGAUGAGAGAAGAUGAGAGCAGGGGAAAAAGAGGCUCAGGUUUAACUCUUUCCUUUGUUCUCAUCUAUCAAAGAAGAGAUUGCCAUAUGUUUUCUCUGCUUUUGCUGCUCGUUAUAUUUGUAAAUGUGACAUAUAUUAAUCACAUGUUGCACUAAAAGAGUUUUGCUCUUUGAAAGCUAUUCAUAUUUUAUCCUGUGCUUCAUUUACACUGAUACUUUUUGAUUUUAGAUUUGCAGACUGGAUAUUUUCAUGUUUUUACAUGAAGUAUGGGCUAGCUAUUUCUGCCUGAAUGGUAUAUAGGAGAAUAUUAUGUAUGACAAGUAUAUUAGCUAUAUUUGAUUCCAG